Molecule: long non-coding RNA, 6138 nt
Filed under: Homo sapiens (human)
Lineage: Eukaryota; Metazoa; Chordata; Mammalia; Primates; Hominidae
Description: non-protein coding lnc-TLR5-1:6
Source: RNAcentral
GAGUAGCCCUAGAGGCCUAACGCUUGAGGUCACCUUCAUGGUUUUUCCAGUGACCUUGGCCAUUAAUGAGCUCCCACCGCUUCCCCAGCUGCAGCUGUAUUAUAGCGCCAGAGUCUUCCAAGCCUGCAGGUUGUGCCAAGCCUGGAGGGAUUUGCAAAAGAAACAUUUGCCUACACCAAGAUCAUGAAGAUGUUUUCUUCUAGAGGAUUUCUAGUUUUAGCUCUUUAUGUUUAAAUUGAGGGAAACUAAAUGUAUGGCCUUAAGGAGCUGUUCCAGCCUGAGACUAUACACCAGCAGAAAGAAACUCACAGCACUGAAAAUAUUGUUCUCCGCCCUCCCUCAUCCCUCUUCCUUCUGAAUGGGAAAAAAGAGUAAGAAGCUUUUCCCUCCAGCUGAAAGCAAAGGAGUACUCUAGCCCUCUGUGAUAGCUGAUGGCAGCAUCUUUGGGUGGCUCUCCCAGAGAGGCUGCUCUCUUUGCUGGAAUUUGCCUUGUUCUCUCCUCACUGCUGAAGCACUGUCACUGCGUCCUAAAAAAACACCACAGUAUCCGUAAGACGUUGCCUGUCAUUGGAGGUUUGCUCCUUCUCUCUAUCUCAGACAGGAUUCAAUGAAGAAAACAGAAGCCACUGUAUGUACUCCAGGUGUUUAAAGUUUUAAUUUAGAGAAUUAAGGGUAUACUGAAAUAUUGCAAGACCUGGGGUAGUGGAGGUCAGGUAAGCUGACACCAAAGACCUCAUCCCAAAACACUCAAAGAGUGGUACAUGUCCCACACUUGUGGGCAGCAGCAAGCAUGAUUGUUCCCAAAUCUCAACUCCUUACAGAUCUGGCUGUAACUACCCCUGAAGAACAAAGACCUUUCCCCCACCUCUGUCCUAAUCUCAGGAGAGCUUCUCAUUUGCAAACUCUAACCAGGAAUCAGACAGGGACAGAGUUCAGGGAAGUAUUCCUGGCUUUGCUUCCCUCUGCAGAAGGGACUUUGGCUUUGAGGGAGGUCCUGGGGUUGGUGGUAAUGCCAAGUUGACCUUGGACAAUCCAGCACUCUCUAAGGAUGGCUCCAGCCCCUCGAGGGGAGUCAGCACCCUCUGAAUAGCAUUUUCAGGCCUCUCCCAGGAAGCUGGGGCUUGGAGUGGGAGUGUCCCCCCAGGAGAGUGGCAGAGGCAGGAUGAUUCAGGGUCAGCCCAAACCUUACAGAUAUUCCCCGAGGUGGCCAACGCAACCAUGAGCAAGAGCCGAGGCCUUAGCCAACAAGACAAUGGAGGGCAGCUCAUAUGAAGGGCAAAGCAAAGGCCAAAGUGAGAGAAGUAAGCGCUGUGACAUGGAGACCAGCUCAGGAUAGGAUAGAUGGCUCAGGAACCAGGCUGUUAAGGAGAGAAUACUCAGCAUUUCUGAGAACACGGCAGUUCGAGGACCCGUGCUGGUCUGGGCCCGCUCCCCCAGCCCCUGAUGGGGGCCUGUGUGCUCUGCAAAGAGCUGUGCCCUGUGAUGGGGGGUCUGUGACCUGGGAGGGAAUACACUCAAUCUCACAUGGGUUGUGGAAGCCUGUGCUCCCCCCACAGCCAGGGAAGAUCAUGAGCUGCUUUGUGAGUGUGAGACAUUACAGAUACAACAGCCAAUUGACUCAAACAAAACUAUUGCAGGAAAGAAAAGGCUUUCUGAAUUAUGGAGUGCUGUGGGCUGAGUUGUGGACCCCCAAAAUUUAUAUGUUGAAGUCCUACCCCUAGUGCCUCAGAAUGUUCCUUUAUUUGGAGAUAGGGUCUGAUAGAGUUUAGUUAUUUGUCCCCCCAAAUCUCAUGUUGAAAUGUAGUCCCCAGUGUGGAAGGUGGGGCCUGGUGGGAGGUGAGUGGCUCGUGGAGGAGGAUUUCUCAUGAUUGGUUCAGCCCCAUCCUCAUGGUGCAGUCCUCAUGACGGUGAGUGAGUUCUCGUGAGAUCGGGUGGGUUGAAAGUGUGUGGCCCCUCCUUCUCCUUCUCUUGCACCUGCUUUGGCCAUGAGAUCUGCCUGCUCCACUUGCCUUCCGCCCUGAGUAAAAGCUCCCUGAGGCCUCCCCAGAAGCUGAGUAGAUGCCAUAGCCAUGCUUCCUGUACAGCCCACAGAACCGUGAGCCAGUUAAACCUCUUUCCUUGAUAAGUUACCUACCCUCAGGUAUUUCUUUAUAGCAGCGCAAGAACAGACUCAUACAGGAUCACUGCAUGUGGAAUCAGGUAAGACAAGGUCAUACUGGAGUAGGAAAGGGGUUAAUCCAAUAUGACUGGUGUCCUUAAAAAAUGGGAAAUUCAUCGAGGGCAGAUUGGAUAAAGGAAAUGUUGUACAUAUACACUAUGGAAUACUUCACAGCUAUAAAAAAGGAGAAGAUUAUGUCCUUUGCAGGUACAGGAAUGGAGCUAGAGGUCAUCAUCCUUAGCAAACUAAUGCAGGAACAGAAAACCAAAUGCCACAUGUUCUCACUUAUAAGUUGAAGGUAAAUAAUGAGAACACGUGGACACAUAGAGGGGAAUAGCACACACUGGGGCCUACUUGAGGGUAGAAGGUGGGAGGAAGGAGAGGAUCAGAAAAAACGAUUGGUUACUAGGCUUACUACCUGGUUGAUGAAAUAAUCUGUACAGCAAACCCCAGUAUCAAGAGUUUACCUAUAUAACAAAACUGCACAUGUACCCCUGAACCUAAAAUAAAAGCUUUUUAUAAAAAGAAAAGAAAAAGGGCUGGGCAUGAUGGCUCACACCUGUAAUCCCAGGACUUUAGGACACCCAGGUGGGUGGACUGCUAAGCUCAGGAGUUCAAGACCAGCCUAGGCAACAUUGCGAAACCCCGUCUCUACAAAAAUUAGCCAGGCAUGGUGGCAUGUACCUGAAGUCCCAUCUACUUGCAGGGCUGAGGCCAGAGGAUCGCUUGAACCCAGGAGGUGGAGAUUGUAGUGAGUUGUAUUUGUGCCACUGCACUCCAGCCUCGUUGACAGAGCAAGGGCAAGACCUUUUCUUUAAAAAAAAAAAAAGAAAGAAAGAAAAGAAAAAGAAAAGACAAGAAAAGAAAAGAAAAGGAUAUAAUCAGCCAAAUUCAAAAUGUGUGAAAUGCUACAAGGUAAGUGAACUAAUUUUUUCCAAUAAAUAAAUGAUAAGAAAAAAGAGAGAAGAGGAAACUACUAUAGAUUUUAAGAAAUUUAAGACAUAUCAACCAAACACAAUGUGUACAUAGACCUUGUUGAGAUCCUGAACAAAUUGACUUUUGGGGAAAUGUGAACACUGAGUAGCUAUCUGGUAAUACUGGGUUUUUUGGUUUUGGUUUUGUUUUUUGAGACAGAGUCUCACUCUGUCACUCAGGCUGGAGUGCAGUGGUGUGAUCUCGGCUCACUGCAACCUCUGCCUCCUGGGUUCAAGUGAUUCUCCUGCUUCAGCCUCCUGUGUUGCUGGGAAUAUAGGUGCACGCCACCAUGCCUGGCUAAUUUUUGUACUUUUAGUAGAGACAGGGUCUCGCUAUAUUGGCCAGGCUGGUCCCUAAUUCCUGACCUCAAGUGAUCUACCCACCUCAGCCUCCCAAAGUGCUGGGAUUACAGGUGUCAGCCACCAUGACUGGCCAGGUGAUACUGUUUUGUUCAGUUAAUAGUGAGAUAAUUGUAUCAAAAUUAUGUAUUUAAGAGUUCUUGGCUGGGUGUGGUGGCUCACGUCUGUAAUCCCAGCACUUUGUGGGAGGCCAAGGCAGGUGGAUCACUUGAGAUCAGGAGUUCAAGACCAGCCUGGCCAACAUGGCAAAACCCUGUCUCUACUAAACACACACACAAUUAGCUGGGCAUGGUGGCAUGCACCUGUUAGCCCAGCUACUCAGGAGGUUGAGGCAUGAGAAUUGCUUGAACCCAGGUAGUGGAGGUUGCAGUGAGCCAAGAUAGCACCACUGCACUACAGCCUGGGCGACAGACUGAGACUCUGUGUCAAAAAAAAAAAAAAAAAAAGUUAUCAUUUAGAAGACAUGUGACUGACAUGUAUGUAAAUAAAAUGAUAAGGAGAAUUUGCUUUAAAAUAUUUCCAUAGAGAUAGGUGCAGGGAGGAGGAACAAAUGAGAUAAGAUUGGCCAUUUGUUGGUCAUUGUCGACACUAUGUAAUGGGUACAUGGGGGUUCAUUAUACUAUUCUAUUUUUGUGUAUGUUCAAAAUUUUCUACUAUUAAAAGUUUUUUUAAUUUUAAAAUAAAAAAUAAGUAAAAAUGGGAAAUUUAGAGGUAGACACUCAUGCAGGAAAAGUGCCAGGUGAAGAUGAAGGCAGGGAUCGUAGUGAAGCUUCUACAAGCCGAGGAUCACCAGCAAACCACCAGAAGCCAAGGGAGAGGCCAGGAACAGACUCUCCCCACAGCCCUCAGAAGGGUCCAACCCUGCUGACACCUUGAUCUUGGACUUCCAGCUUCCAGGACUGUGAAACAAGACAUUUCUUUGGUUCAAGCCACUCCCUUAGUGCACAUUGUUAUGGCAGCCAUGGAAAACCAUCCACAGAGGGUCAGUUCCUAUGGAGGUGGGGACGUUCUGUAUCUGUGAUGAAUGACCCCUGCAUACAUUAUAUCUUUCAGUAAAAACAGUGGUGUUUCAGUAGUGUUACUAGCUAAGCUGCUUAACUCUCACAUUACAGACGUCAGUGAAGCCCCUUGGUAGGUAGUGUCUAAAAUUAGAUUUAUCUGCUUAUUUACACAAUUAUACUCUCAUGAGUUUGAAUGUUGGGGAAAGAUCAAGAAAAAGACCAGAUCACUAGAUGGCAAUAGCACACAAGAGCUUUAUUUGGAUGAAGCUUGGACAGAAUGCAUGGAAGGGGAAAGUCCCUUGCAGCAGAAGACCUUCCAGAGGCAGUGGCAGGGCCACCACCAGAAGAAAAGGGCAAGGACACUCCCAGGGGAGAGGAGGAUCAGAGAGGAGGUUACAGGUCUAAGAGAUGUCACAGGUCUAGAAGAAAAGAAAAGGAGCCAGGUGCAGUGGCUCACACCUGUAAUCCCAGCACUUUGGGAGGCCCAGGCGGGCAGAUUGCUGAGUUCAGGAGUUUGAGACCAGCCUAGGCAAACAUGGUGAAACCCCAUCUCUAAAAAAAGAUUUAAAAAUUAACCAGGCCUGGUGGCAUGUACCUGAAGUCUCAUUUACUUGGGGGGCUAAGGCUGGAGGAUCGUUUGAACCCAAGAGGGUUCAUGGUGGGGAGCAUCAUGGUGAGGAGUCUCUGGGUCAGAGAGCUCCAAAGGACAGCAGCCAUUUGGGGUCUUUUGUAGCCCUGAGGUUCGUCUUACCUAUGGUGAGAGGGUGUCGGGUGUAGUUUUGCAAAUUAUCGAAGCAGGCAGGCUCUAAAUGGGCAAAUAAUAUUUGGCCUACAUUUAAAGCAAUUGGAUGUGCAAGAAUUUGAGUUUGGUGCUGGCAGGCUUGAGUUAACGGUCCUGGGCUGUGGUGUGGAAGUAAACAGCAUGGGGGCCAAUACACAGGGGCUGUCUUGAACUCGUUCAUACAAUCCAUUUAUAACCUGUUUAUAACUUGUUUAUAACCCAUUUAUACCACAUACCCCUAAAGCAAAUACCUAGCAGAUAGCAUGCAGGGCCUAUUUGCCUGGCCUCCUUCAAUGGCAUCACAUUCUCCACCACCACGAUGGUUAAUAUGGACGAGCCCUAGCAGCUGCCCAGUGAAGUCCACACGCUACUGCCCAAACCAGCUCAAGUCCUUAGUUGUCAUGAAAAUAAUGUGAGUUCCCACAGCCGUAAAAGGGAAAGCAGCAAGAGCCACAUGAGCAUCCCCGGAACCCUGGGAACAGUCAUCAGUGUCAUCUUCAGGGUCAUGUCCCUACAAGCAGUUCUCAGGCUCCUGCUGAGGGUCAGAACAGAGCCGAAGUCACAGGAUAUCAAAAAUGGAUAAGCCCAACCUCAGCUCGCAGAGGAAUUGCUCAGCUGACAGAUGAUUGUGUUAUCUCAGUGAAGCCAGAUGACAAUGUACUUGGCCAACGGAACAUCUUGGUCAAUGGAUCUCCAAGUUGGUUAUAAAAUUAAAGCAAAAUAAUGCCAUUAUAUGUAAGAUGUCAUUGAUUGUAAGAUGCUCCUUUAUUUGAUGUACCACUAAUAAAUAAAAACACUGACAUUUAAACAAUGACAAUUGCAUAACACAUCUGCUUGUUCAAUGUUAAAUAUGAAAAAAUGUGC